GACGAACGCUGGCGGCGUGCUUAACACAUGCAAGUCGAACGGAAAGGCCCUGCUUUUGUGGGGUGCUCUAGUGGCGAACGGGUGGGUAACACGUGAGUAACCUGCCCUUGACUUUGGGAUAACUUCAGGAAACUGGGGCUAAUACCGGAUAGGAGCUCCUGCUGCAUGGUGGGGGUUGGAAAGUUUCGGCGGUUGGGGAUGGACUCGCGGCUUAUCAGCUUGUUGGUUGGGUAGUGGCUUACCAAGGCUUUGACGGGUAGCCGGCCUGAGAGGGUGACCGGCCAAAUUGGGAAAGAGAUACGGCCCAGAGUACUACGGGAGGCAGCAGUAGGGAAUAUUGCUCGAUGGGCGGAAGCCUGAUGCAGCAACGCCGCGUGAGGGAUGACGGCCUUCGGGUUGUAAACCGCUUUCGCCUGUGACGAAGCGUGAGUGACGGUAAUGGGUAAAGAAGCACCGGCUAACUACGUG
This 468-nucleotide ribosomal RNA is filed under the name uncultured bacterium. RNAcentral describes it as "partial 16S ribosomal RNA". It matches the Rfam family "Bacterial small subunit ribosomal RNA", at positions 28 to 507 of the family's 1533-position model. The record is from RNAcentral.